GACGGGGGGUCCAAGCGUUGUUCGGAAUCAUUGGGCGUAAAGCGUGUGCAGGUGGUCUUGUAAGUUGGAUGUGAAAGCCCCGAGCUUAACUCGGGAAGUGCAUUCAAAACUGCAAGACUUGAGUAUGGAAGAGGGUCGUGGAAUUCCAGGUGUAGUGGUGAAAUACGUAGAUAUCUGGAGGAACACCGGUGGCGAAGGCGGCGACCUGGUCCUAUACUGACACUCAUACACGAAAGCGUGGGGAGCAAACAG
Molecule: ribosomal RNA, 252 nt
Filed under: uncultured bacterium
Lineage: Bacteria
Description: partial 16S ribosomal RNA
Rfam family: Bacterial small subunit ribosomal RNA
Source: RNAcentral